UACGGGGGGAGCAAGCGUUGUUCGGAUUUACUGGGCGUAAAGGGCGCGUAGGCGGCGUGACAAGUCACUUGUGAAAUCUCCGGGCUUAACUCGGAACGGUCAAGUGAUACUGUCGUGCUAGAGUACAGAAGGGGCAACUGGAAUUCUCGGUGUAGCGGUGAAAUGCGCAGAUAUCAGGAGGAACACCAGCGGCGAAGGCGGCGCUCUGGGCCGGUACUGACACUGAGGAGCGAAAGCGUGGGUAGCAAACAGG
Molecule: ribosomal RNA, 253 nt
Filed under: uncultured bacterium
Lineage: Bacteria
Description: partial 16S ribosomal RNA
Rfam family: Bacterial small subunit ribosomal RNA
Source: RNAcentral